Molecule: transfer RNA, 73 nt
Filed under: Nocardiopsis flavescens
Lineage: Bacteria; Bacillati; Actinomycetota; Actinomycetes; Streptosporangiales; Nocardiopsidaceae
Description: Nocardiopsis sp. SA6 tRNA
Rfam family: tRNA
About the family: Transfer RNA (tRNA) molecules are approximately 80 nucleotides in length. Their secondary structure includes four short double-helical elements and three loops (D, anti-codon, and T loops).
Source: Rfam by way of RNAcentral
GGGGGUGUAGCGCAGAGGUCGUCGCGCCUGCACGGCAUGGAGGAGGACGCCGGUUCGAAUCCGGUCGCCCCCG